UGGGGAAUAUUGCACAAUGGGCGCAAGCCUGAUGCAGCCAUGCCGCGUGUAUGAAGAAGGCCUUCGGGUUGUAAAGUACUUUCAGUCGGGAGGAAGGUGGUAAGGUUAAUAACCUUAUCAAUUGACGUUACCGACAGAAGAAGCACCGGCUAACUCCGUGCCAGCAGCCGCGGUAAUACGGAGGGUGCAAGCGUUAAUCGGAAUUACUGGGCGUAAAGCGCACGCAGGCGGUUGAUUGAGUCAGAUGUGAAAUCCCCGGGCUUAACCCGGGAAUUGCAUCUGAUACUGGUCAGCUGGAGUCUUGUAGAGGGGGGUAGAAUUCCAUGUGUAGCGGUGAAAUGCGUAGAGAUGUGGAGGAAUACCGGUGGCGAAGGCGGCCCCCUGGACAAAGACUGACGCUCAGGUGCGAAAGCGUGGGGAGCAAACAGG
Molecule: ribosomal RNA, 429 nt
Filed under: Chloroflexota bacterium
Lineage: Bacteria; Bacillati; Chloroflexota
Description: Chloroflexi bacterium partial 16S ribosomal RNA
Rfam family: Bacterial small subunit ribosomal RNA
Source: RNAcentral